AUGGAACAUCCAAGCUAUAUUCCAGGUUAUAAAAAUAUAAAUGUUGCAACAUUGUACAGACCAUUAGAUAACUAUGAAUAUGUUAAUGCCACACGAGUUAAACAAUUUUCCUAUAAUCCAAACUUUAGGCAAGAACCACUCAUGGGUCCAUAUAUCAAAGAAUACUAUGAGAAUAGUGUAAACUAUCAAAUUAAUAAAGAUAUGAAACCAUUAAUUUUUCAUCCCCUUAUGUUACCAUAUAAAGAUAUGCAUAGACAAUGUAACCCAUUAGUCGCAUAUCCUUAUGGAAUACCACGAGAUGCAAAGGUACAUGAUAAAUGCUCAAAAUGUAAAGGAAAAAAAAAAAAAAAAAAAAAAAAAAAAAAAAAAAAAAAAAAAAAAAAAAAAAAAAAAGAAAGAAAAAGAAAAAAAAAAAAUUAUUGUAAAAGCGUUGGUAUUGCCUUUUUUGUAAAAAUGAAAAGUAUUAAAAAAAAUGGAAAUGUUGUUAGUUCUUUUCGUAUAUAGUAUAUAUAUAGUAUAUAUUUAAAUAUACACAAAUAAAUUUAUGUAAUUUUAAUUAUGAUAAAACA
Molecule: long non-coding RNA, 569 nt
Filed under: Piliocolobus tephrosceles (Ugandan red Colobus)
Lineage: Eukaryota; Metazoa; Chordata; Mammalia; Primates; Cercopithecidae
Description: lncRNA (ENSPTEG00000017765.1)
Source: RNAcentral